This is a long non-coding RNA of Microplitis demolitor, 461 nucleotides long. RefSeq lists it as uncharacterized. Lineage: Eukaryota; Metazoa; Arthropoda; Insecta; Hymenoptera; Braconidae. The transcript is spliced from 4 exons. The record is from RefSeq and is a predicted model, not a curated record.
CGAAUAUUGUGCAAACGUAACCGUUACAGCAACGAAGAUUUUGCAGUCAGAUCACGCACCGCAUCGUGCGUUAACAAACGUCGCAUUAGUUUGAAUAAGCAUGCGUAUUGCACACAAGUACUGAUGGAGUCCGAAUACACUUGUAUACAUGAUUUCUUUGAGGUGGGAGACAACUCCAUCCUUGACAGCAGUCUGAGUGAAAAUCGCACUAUAAAAAAUAUAAAUAAGAAUAUGGUUGACAUGAUGCAGGAUGAAUCAAAUUACGAAAACGAGGAUAAAUAUUCUUGCAUUCAAUCAUCACAAACCCAAUUAAUGCAAUAAAAAAAAUAAUAAAUAUUUUAUUCAUUAUUUAGAAGGUUCAAAAAAAAUUUUUGAUCACUGAAAAAAUUUGUGUAAAAUAAAUUUCCGUUGGAACUUAUCGAAAAAUAAUAAUACAGCUUUUGAUUGAAUUAAAUAUAUAA